GCUUGUAAGUACAUUGGCAUCCUGAAUUACUCAAGGGAUCAAUUAAUCAACGGGAGCAUGAGAGCCAGGAGCCUAUCUUCUAGCUUCUACUCUGCCUCUCACCUGCCAGAGACCUUGGGCCACCACCUGCCUGACUUGAGUUUGACUCAUCCUCUCCAGGAUCCCUUCCAGCUUCUGUGCUACACACACAGGCAAUGAGGUGAAGCUUUAUCACCUACAGCGGGUACCAGAAUUCCUCUAAGGCGCAGAAGGUCUCUAUCUGGGGAGAUACCUUAAAGAGCAGACGGUGAGGUCUGAAAGGCAUGGGUAUGUGCCAGAUCCAAGGCCAUGGGGGCACAGGUCGGCCUGUUCUGCAGGAAAUGAGGUGCAUCUCUGUUCCCCCAUUCACAUCAGUGCUUCAGACCACGGGAAGGAAAACUGGAAACCUCACAAAGAACCUAGGACAUCAUACUGAGGCACUCAAAAACUAAGCUAGAAAGACAACAGGAAGUUUUUUUAAAUGCUUUGAGACCUUGAACCUCUCCUACAUGCCCGGGCAGCCCCGCCCUGUCUCCUGCUGAGAGCUGGAGCCGGCAUCUUUGCUACCAGGAAAGGAUGGAUGGUGUGCCAAGUCAGGCUCACUCUCACGGCCUUCGCCCAGCUUCCCCAGUCGCCUGCCUCAAAUCAAUGUGCAAGAAGCUCUGAAAUAGGAGCAAUUUGCUGAACUUCAUUUUUGUUCACAUGUAAUAGGAGACGGAUGCCCCCACUAACUUGUGGUGCCAAUCAGCCAGUGGGAAGCAGCCCAUGUUUUAGGAAGGCAAAUCAUUAAGAACUGGAAUAAAGGGUAGGCAUACAUACCAGCUGGAUCCAAUUUUAAGUGAAAAUUAAUGGCAAAUUCUUGUAAACCACAUUAAGGGCCAUUGUCGUUCAUUUGAAAUCAGUUAAACAUGGAAACAAUAUGAAAAGCAUCUUGAGUUCAUGGAAUAUAAAUAUUUGUCUAUGUUUUUUUGCCAGUGCCCCAGAGAGACUAGAAGAGGUUGGCAGAUCGGUGCUCUGUAAACACGUUUACAAAGACAAAAAAAAAAAAAAGGAACCUGACUCUUGUUGGGUUAAACUAUUUGUCAACUUUUCCAUUUCCUCAGUCGGAAGAUAAUUAAACAGUAAGCAGAUGUCAGAAUCUAAUUGUUUCAAGGAAAGAUUGCUUAACGACUUACAUUGCUUGUAAUUUCUGUGUAUUGUCUGCAAGCAACACUUUGGUGGGUACAAGAAGCAGAAAGGCACCCAGUUAGUUGCUCUCUCCAUGGAGGCAGAGGGUCUGCCAGUAAAUAGAUCCACGUAGCCACUCUUAAUAUUAAGAAACAAGCAAGAAAGUCCCUGAAACAAUGCUUUGGGUAUACCGGACUGGAGAGAAGUUUGGCUUUUCAGAAAAAGGAGAGAGGGGGAGAUGGGGAAGAGAGAAUGGAGAUGAGGAGAAGGAAGAGCUGGAGAAGGAGGGAGAGGAAAAAUAGGAGAAGAUACGGAAAGAAGCAGUGUUUGUGGAGGGAGGGGACCAGAUGUGGUCCCAUCCAAAGGGCCUGGUCUUCAGAGUCAAGCCGGCUGUUUGGUUCCAUCACUUUCCACAUUUGGGAGCUUGGACCAUUUAUUUGACCUCCCUGGAUUCAUUUCCUCAUCAGACAAUUGGAUGCAAUAAUUCCUGCCCUGGCUCUAUCACAAGAAUGUUGUGUAAAAGAGUAAUAUAUAUGAAUGUCGCAAAAUUGUGAAACACUACAAUUACUUUUUCAUUAAAAAGUAG
This is a long non-coding RNA of Bos taurus (domestic cattle), 1771 nucleotides long. NCBI's taxonomy places the organism in Eukaryota, Metazoa, Chordata, Mammalia, Artiodactyla, Bovidae. The record is from Ensembl.